CCUACGGGGGGCUGCAGUCGAGAAUAUUCGACAAUGGACGAAAGUCUGAUCGAGCGACGCCGCGUGGUGGAUGAAGUCCUUCGGGACGUAAACACCUUUUAUGAACAAGAAAUUUUUGAUCAGUUCAUGAAUAAGAGGCUGCUAACUCUGUGCCAGCAGCAGCGGUAAUACAGAGGCCUCAAGCGUUAUCCGGAAUUAUUGGGCGUAAAGCGUGUCUAGGUGGUUAUGUUAGUCUUUUGUUAAAACCCGCGGCUUAACUGCGGAUCUGCGAAAGAAACGGCAUAACUAGAGAAUGUGAGAGGAGAGCGGAACUCUAAGUGUAGGGGUGAAAUCCGUUGAUAUUUAGGGGAACACCAAAGGCGAAGGCAGCUCUCUGGCGCAUUUCUGACACUCACACACGAAAGCGUGGGUAGCGAAUGGGAUUAGAUACCCUUGUAGUC
Molecule: ribosomal RNA, 440 nt
Filed under: uncultured Parcubacteria group bacterium
Lineage: Bacteria
Description: bacterial SSU rRNA
Rfam family: Bacterial small subunit ribosomal RNA
Source: RNAcentral